Non-coding RNA from Podarcis lilfordi (Lilford's wall lizard), 75 nucleotides. The record is from the annotation of a GenBank genome assembly. Lineage: Eukaryota; Metazoa; Chordata; Lepidosauria; Squamata; Lacertidae.
GGAAGGGCUGUUGCUCGGUAGUAGAGCGUGUGCUUUGUAUGCAAAAGAUCCCAGAUUCAAUCCCUGCCACCUCCG